CGUAGGUGAACCUGCGGAAGGAUCAUUAACAAAUCCUAGCCGUCGUUGUUGCCUGCCGCGAUGCCGAUGGUGAAACACCGUGCACUGGAGACCGGAGGAUGGGAGUGCUGGUUCGGUUUUAAGGGAGGUGUGCGGCCGGCACUUAUGCUCGAGUGGGUGCCGCACUUAAAUCGAUGGAGAUCAAACGUGACACCGUGCACCGGGCCUCCAACCGAACCAUCCCUCCUUUGGUUUUUUGUCUUUGAACCCGCAAACUUUGUUGAUUUUUGGUAGAUUUGUACGUGUGGCAAAAAAGUUGACAACUUCUGACGGUGGAUCUCUUGGCUCGUGCAUCGAUGAAGAACGCAGCAAGCUGCGAUAUCUAGUGUGAAUUGCAGAAUUCAGUGAAUCAUCGAGUCUUUGAACGCAAAUGGCGCUCCCGGGGUCUCCUCGGGAGCAGGUCUGUCCGAGCGUCUGCCAACCGAAUCAGUCGUCGCCUAGCGGACGACGAGAUUGAGGGACUGCGGUGACGCCAUUGUGCCGCACUCCUUGAAGAGAGCCAGGAAUCCGUGCGGUCAAUGUGGGGCCGUGACGGUGUUACGACGAGACGGUCGUCACAACGGCGCAAGAAGUUGUGCGACCGAUUCUUGUGCGAUGGCCGUCACGUGUGCCCACCUGCACCCACGGUCUCAGGAAAGC
RNAcentral lists this unclassified non-coding RNA (678 nucleotides) under Thorectidae sp. QM G306003. Its description in RNAcentral is "sequence contains ITS1, 5.8S rRNA gene, ITS2". The stretch from base 301 to 455 matches the Rfam family "5.8S ribosomal RNA". Lineage: Eukaryota; Metazoa; Porifera; Demospongiae; Dictyoceratida; Thorectidae. The record is from RNAcentral.